AAUUAAUGCUGAUGGUAUGCCUAAUACAUGCAAGUCGAACGGACCUUGGUUUCGGCCAAGGUUAGUGGCAAACGGGUGAGUAAUACAUAUCUAACAUGCCCCUCUGUGGGGGAUAGCCACUUGAAAAAGUGAUUAAUACCCCAUAGGAAGCUUUAUCCAUGAUUUAGCUUUUAAAGCCUUCGGGCGCUGAGGGAUUGGGAUAUGCUCUAUUAGCUAGUUGGCGGGAUAAAAGCCCACCAAGGCAAUGAUAGAUAGCUGGUCUUAGAGGAUGAACAGCCACAAUGGGAUUGAGAUACGGCCCAUAUUCCUACGGGAAGCAGCAGUAGGGAAUCUUCCACAAUGGACGAAAGUCUGAUGGAGCAAUACCAUGUGAACGAUGAAGGCCUUUUUGGUUGUAAAGUUCUUUUACGAGGGAUAAUUAUGAUAGUACUUCGUGAAUAAGUGACAGCAAACUAUGUGCCAGCAGCUGCGGUAAUACAUAGGUCGCAAGCAUUAUUCGGAUUUAUUGGGCGUAAAGCAAGCGCAGGCGGAUGUGUAAGUUCUGUGUUAAAUGCAGCUACUCAAUAGUUGUAUGCACCGAAUACUACAUGUCUAGAUUGUGGUAGGGAGUUUCGGAAUUAAGCAUGGAGCGGUGGAAUGUGUAGAUAUGCUUAAGAACACCAGAGGCGAAGGCGGAAACUUAGGCCAUAAAUGACGCUUAGGCUUGAAAGUGUGGGGAGCAAAUGGGAUUAGAUACCCCAGUAGUCCACACCGUAAACGAUGGGUAUUAGAUAUUAGGGCUUUAGCUUUAGUGUUGUAGUUUACGCGUUAAAUACCCCGCCUGGGUAGUACAUAUGCAAAUAUGAAACUCAAAGGAAUUGACGGGGACCUGAACAAGUGGUGGAGCAUGUUGCUUAAUUCGAUAAUACACGAAAAACCUUACCAAGGUUUGACAUCCCUCGCAAAGCUAUAGAAAUAUAGUAGAGGUUAUCGAGGUGACAGGUGGUGCAUGGCUGUCGUCAGCUCGUGUCUUGAGAUGUUUGGUUAAGUCCCGCAACGAGCGCAACCCCACUCUUUAGUUACUUGUCUAAAGAGACUGCACAGUAAUGUAGAGGAAGGAUGGGAUCACGUCAAGUCAUCAUGCCCCUUAUGCCUUGGGCUGCAAACGUGCUACAAUGGCGAACACAAUGUGUUGCAAACCAGCGAUGGUAAGCUAAUCACCAAAUUUCGUCUCAGUUCGGAUAGGAGGCUGCAAUUCGCCUCCUUGAAGUUGGAAUCACUAGUAAUCCCGUGUCAGCUAUAUCGGGGUGAAUCCGUUCCCAGGUCUUGUACACACCGCCCGUCAAACUAUGAGAGGAGUGGGCAUUUAAAAAUACAUUUAUUUGUAUCUAGAGUGAACAUUCUGAUUGGAGUUAAGUCGUAACAAGGUACCCGUACGAGAACGUGCGGGUGGAUAAUCUUCAAAUUACGAGAUGAUAGGGCCUUUUUAGGUUUUAUUUAGUAGAGGUUGUAACUAGAAUAAAUUCAAAUUGUUUAAUGUAAAUUUGAAAGUUUCUAGGCGGAUGAUUUUCAGUUUUGAGAAAGCUAGAACUUUCUCAGUUUGCUUUUUGAAAGGAAAAGAUAAUAACCGAGUUAACUUAGAUAGUUAAUCAUACGUAAAUUAUUAAGAGCUAAAGGUGGAUUUCUUGGAAAUGGUAGGCUAUGAAGGACGUGCCAAUCUGCGAUAAGCUAGGGGUAGCCGAUAAGGGGCUUUAAUCCCUAGAUUUCCGAAUGUAGAAAUACAACAUUUCGAAAGAUUUGUUACUUGUCGGCCAAUUCAUAACCGGCAAGGGUGAACUUCGUGAAGUGAAACAUCUCAGUAGCGAAAGGAAAAGAAAGAGAAUUCGAUUCCCUCAGUAGUGGUGAGCGAAAGGGGACCAGGCCAAACCGGUUUUACCGGGGUUGUAGGACAUUUAUAUGGAAUCAGAAGUAUAGGAGAAGUCUUUGGAAAAAGACGGCAUAGAGGGCGAUCCCCCCGUAUCCGAAAUGCUUUUGAUUGCUGAGUGUAUCCUGAGUAGGGCGGGACACGUGUAAUCCUGUCUGAAUCUGCCCAGACCAUUGGGUAAGCCUAAAUACUAACCAUUUACCGAUAGUGACCAAGUACUGAA
This 2126-nucleotide ribosomal RNA is filed under the name Mycoplasma haemocanis. RNAcentral describes it as "bacterial SSU rRNA". The stretch from base 1 to 1444 matches the Rfam family "Bacterial small subunit ribosomal RNA". The record is from RNAcentral. Lineage: Bacteria; Bacillati; Mycoplasmatota; Mollicutes; Mycoplasmatales; Mycoplasmataceae.